AGCCAGUGAUGACAAAACAAAAUAACUUUUCUGACACCUACUAUGAGAGCCUUGUGCUCCUGAUUCUAACUCUGUUCUGAGGCUC
Osmerus eperlanus (European smelt) is the source of this 85-nucleotide small nucleolar RNA. RefSeq annotates it as small nucleolar RNA SNORD60. The record is from RefSeq and is a predicted model, not a curated record. The transcript has a single exon. NCBI's taxonomy places the organism in Eukaryota, Metazoa, Chordata, Actinopteri, Osmeriformes, Osmeridae.